Molecule: long non-coding RNA, 730 nt
Organism: Tribolium castaneum (red flour beetle)
Lineage: Eukaryota; Metazoa; Arthropoda; Insecta; Coleoptera; Tenebrionidae
Exons: 2
Source: RefSeq, a predicted model, not a curated record
UCAAACACUGGGUUAAGCAGAAAUUAGACCAGAUCAAACGAACAAAAAACCAAACGUUUUUCAAAAAAAUAAUACUUAUGUCAACAAAAAAUUGAGCAUAAGGGAAUUAUUGGAUGAAAAAAUUAAUUACCCACUAAUUAGCUUAAAAGCACCCAUAAAUAUUACAAAAUCCCUUCUUUUUAGAAUGUCUAAUGUUGUAAUGGAUGUUUAUAUGUACAAGAUUUUAGCGUUUGCUGUUAAAUACAGUGGAACUCGGUUAUAACAAACACCCAAGGGACUUCAGAAUUUGUUCGUGGUUAAAACCGAUCGUUCUUUCUAACGGAACGUUGUCCUUAUGGAGUAAAUUUUAAGUUAAUUAAUUUGAAAAAAACUUAUCAUCUGAAUAGAACAUCGUUUUCUGCUCAUUUUAUUUUUUUAUUAAACAAUUGUUCGCAAUUUUUUGAUAAAUUUUAUAAGGGGUUUUGUAUAUGACCUAUUUAUGACAUUGUAUUUUUUCAAGCCAUUUGAACUUUAGGUUUUUCCAUAUCCAUAAAAACAUUAAAAUUAUUAAUCUGUUUAAGCCGUUAAAACAUUGUUACAAAUAUUUAAGGGGAGAUAAGAGGGUCUGUGAGAUGAUGAUUUAAUUUAGGAACAAUAUCCAAUAGUAAAAAAAACUAUUUUGAUUAUUAUUUUUGGGUUUAUUUUUCCAAUUUCUAUUAAUAAAAUGCUUAAUAUCUUAUUAUUAAAACAA